Acanthosepion pharaonis is the source of this 113-nucleotide non-coding RNA. The record is from the annotation of a GenBank genome assembly. Lineage: Eukaryota; Metazoa; Mollusca; Cephalopoda; Sepiida; Sepiidae.
UUACGGCCACAUCAUCUUGAAACACCUGUUCCUGUACGAUCACCGAAGGUAAGCAAUGUUAUACCUGGUCAGUAGCUAGAAGAGUGACCGUUUGGGAAUACCAAGUGUUGUAA